RNAcentral lists this long non-coding RNA (2817 nucleotides) under Triticum aestivum (bread wheat). RNAcentral's name for it is "long non-coding RNA (TAES_LNC025529)". The record is from RNAcentral. Lineage: Eukaryota; Viridiplantae; Streptophyta; Magnoliopsida; Poales; Poaceae.
CAAGACCCACAAGUCAGAGCCCGAACGAUCGACGACUCGUGGACCAUGUACAACUUCAUGCGCCGAACACCCGGGUAGCACAAAUGCCAAGUACCCCAGAGACCACUUGGAACGUCAAGUAACGUCGAACCGUGAAGACUCCGUGGUCAUCAAGUUCCUCGCUUGGCCCUGAACAUCUACGGAAACUUGUGCGACUAAGAACGUGAACCACUACCGUCGAACCCCGAAGGACUCGAAUUCGUCAAGUCCCCCUCCGAACCGGGAACCACUACUUCCACUACCAUCGCAGAGGACCGAUAGUACGACUACUUCCACUACGAAUGUUCCAAGAGCGCCUACUUCCUCUACUUCGCACUGAAUGAGAACCAUCCUGUUUGCACGCUUCGAAGGUAUAACUCCGAGAUGAACGCCCGUCAACGAAUGCUUGUGAUGUGUUGUAUGAGAUGCCUGUGUUUUCUCCAUGCCCGAAUUGAUCCUUGCACGUUCCUCGUUUCCUUGCCACCGAUUCGUGGGACACCCGGUAUUCGGGAUCACUCCCCGUACCUCUCACACAUUUCGCACAUCUCGCAUUUGUUUCUUGCACCGGCAUCUCAACUAGUUGUCGGAUCAUCGGAACGUUGUCGUGGCACCGUUUUCGUUAUCAUCGCCGUGACACCCUUUCUUUCCACCACAGUGACAAAUGCUUCAGAAUGCUCUUAUCAACUUUUUCAUAAAAAGAUUGCAUAAACUUGCAUACGCCAUCCGCAUCAUGAUAACAACAUUUAAAAUGGAUAAAAUUGUUGUUUGCAUUAAAUUGCUAAAUGCACAUGAGGAUUUACCGGAAUUGUUGUUUGAUGUUUCCGGCCUCAUUUAAAAUGCCUAACUGUGUAUUUUACUCAUGUUUCACCUCUUACCAUGUUUAACAACUUUUAAAAUUGUUGGGUACAUAAACGGGAGAGAACUAAAUUAUCGAUGUGGUGUUUUGUCAAUAUGUUAUGCACUUUGCCAUGCCAUGCCUCAUUAAACCGGACAUGCAUCAUACUCAGUUGUGCAUCAUGUCAUGUUGAUGUGAUGGUUGUUUAGUAUGAUUGCUUGCUUCUUUCCGGUUGCUUCUCGCGUUAGCUUCGGUUUCAUUCCGGAGUUGCGAGGAUUCGUUCCACUACGUCCGUUUGGCUUCAUCAUGGACUCGUUCUUCUUCCUUGCGGGAUCUCAGGCAAGAUGACCAUACCCUCGAUAUCACUUCUAUCUUUGCUUGCUAGUUGCUCGCUCUUUUGCUAUGCCGUGAUACCUACCACUUGCCUUAUCGUGCCUCCCAUAUUGCCAUGUCAAGCCUCUAACCCACCUUUCCUAGCAAACCAUUGUUUGGCUAUAUUACCGCAUUGCUCAGCCCCUCUUAUAGCGUUGCUAGUUGCAGGUGAAGAUGGAGUUUGUUCCAUGUUGGAACAUGGAUAUUGUUGGGAUAUCAUUACUAUUAUAUCGUAUUUACUUUAAUGCAUCUAUAUACUUGGUAAAGGGUGGAAGGCUCGGUCUUAUGCCUGGUUUUUUGUUCCACUCUUGCCACCCUAGUUUCUGUCAUACCGGUGUUAUGUUUCUCGAUUUUGCGUUCCUUACGCGGCUGGGUGUUAUGGGAACCCCUUGAUAGUUCGCUUUGAAUAAAACUCCUCCAGCAAGGCCCAACCUUGGUUUUACAUUUGCCUAACAACCUAUCACCUUUCCUUGGAUUCUGCAGACUCAAGGGUCAUCUUUUUUUAACCCCCUCCCCAGGACAGUGCUUGUCUAAGUGUUGUUCUGAACCAGAGCCACUUGCGGCGCCACCUCGAGGAAACUUGAGGGCUGGUUUUAGCUGUACGUAGUGUUCAUCCGGUGUUGCCCUGAGAACGAGAUAUGUGCAGCUCCUAUCAGGAUGUCGGUGCAUCGGGCGGUCUUGCUGGUCUUGUUUUCCCAUUGUCGAAAUGUCUUGUAACCGGGAUUCCGAGUCUGAUCGGGUCUUCCUGGGAGAAGGAAUAUCCUUCGUUGACCUUGAGAGCUUGUGAUGGGCUAAGUUGGGACACCCCUGCAGGGUUUGAACUUUCAAAAGUUGUGCCCACGGUUAUGGGCAGAUGGGAAUUUGUUAAUAUCCGAUUGUAGAGAACUUGACACUUAACUUAACUAAAAUGAAUCAACUGCGUGUGUAGCCGUGAUGGUGUCUUUUUGGCGGAGUCCGGGAAGUGAACACGGUUCUUGUGUUAUGCUUGAACGUAAGUAGUUUCAGGAUCACUUCAUGAUCAUCUUUAGCUUCUCGACCGUUUUUUGCUUCUCUUCUCGCUCUCUUUUGCGUAAGUUAGCCACCAUAUAUGCUAGUGCUUGCUACAGCUCCACCUCACUACCCUUUCCUACCCAUAAGCUUAAAUAGUCUUGAUCUCGCGGGUGUGAGAUUGUUGAGUCCUCGUGGCUCAUAUAUACUUCCAAACAGUUGCAGGUGCCGAUGAUACCAGUGCAAGUGACGCAACCCAGCUCACGUGGGAGCUCGAUGAAGAUCUUGAUCUUUCUUUUGUGUCUUUUCGGUUGAUCAGUAGUGGAGCCCAGUUGGGACGAUCGGGGAUCUAGCAUUUGGGGUUGUCUUUCUUUAUUUUGGUUCCGUAGUCGGACCUUGAUUGUAUUCAGGAUGAUGUAUGUUUAACUUGUAUUGUGUGAAGUGGCGAUUGUAAGCCAACUCUUUAUCCCUUUCUUUUCAGUACAUGGGAUGUGUAAAGAUUACCCCUCUUGCGACAUGCCUACCAUGCAGUUAUGCCUCUAAGUUGUGCCCCGACACGUGGGAGAUAUAGCCGCAUCGUGGGUGUUACAUAUGACAUAUUCGAC